RNAcentral lists this ribosomal RNA (864 nucleotides) under Microbacterium indicum. RNAcentral's name for it is "bacterial SSU rRNA". It matches the Rfam family "Bacterial small subunit ribosomal RNA", at positions 99 to 979 of the family's 1533-position model. The record is from RNAcentral. Lineage: Bacteria; Bacillati; Actinomycetota; Actinomycetes; Micrococcales; Microbacteriaceae.
CGAACGGGUGAGUAACACGUGAGCAACCUGCCCCGAACUUCGGGAUAACAGUUGGAAACAGCUGCUAAUACCGAAUAUGCACCAGAACGGCAUCGUUACUGGUGGGAAAGAUUUAUCGGUUCGGGAGGGGCUCGCGGCCUAUCAGCUUGUUGGUGAGGUAAUGGCUCACCAAGGCGUCGACGGGUAGCCGGCCUGAGAGGGUGACCGGCCACACUGGGACUGAGACACGGCCCAGACUCCUACGGGAGGCAGCAGUGGGGAAUAUUGCACAAUGGGCGCAAGCCUGAUGCAGCAACGCCGCGUGAGGGACGACGGCCUUCGGGUUGUAAACCUCUUUUAGUAGGGAAGAAGCCUUCGGGUGACGGUACCUGCAGAAAAAGCGCCGGCUAACUACGUGCCAGCAGCCGCGGUAAUACGUAGGGCGCAAGCGUUAUCCGGAAUUAUUGGGCGUAAAGAGCUCGUAGGCGGUUUGUCACGUCUGCUGUGAAAACUGGAGGCUCAACCUCCAGCCUGCAGUGGGUACGGGCAGACUAGAGUGCGGUAGGGGAGAUUGGAAUUCCUGGUGUAGCGGUGGAAUGCGCAGAUAUCAGGAGGAACACCGAUGGCGAAGGCAGAUCUCUGGGCCGUAACUGACGCUGAGGAGCGAAAGAGUGGGGAGCAAACAGGCUUAGAUACCCUGGUAGUCCACUCCGUAAACGUUGGGAACUAGUUGUGGGGGCCCUUUCCACGGUCUCCGUGACGCAGCUAACGCAUUAAGUUUCCCCGCCUGGGGAGUACGGCCGCAGGCUUAAACUCAAGAAUUGACGGGACCGCACAGCGGCGGAGCAUGCGGAAUAUCGAUGCAACGCCGAGACCUUACUAGGC